AUACAUUUAAAGGAUUCCUUUGCCACUUUAGCAGUCAUGACUCUGCCCCAAGGAAUCCUGGGAGCUGCAGUUCAUUGAUGGGGAUGAAAGUUGUUAGGAGAUUCCCUCUUCCUCUCACAGAGCUACAUCCCCAGAGCUUCCUGGGAUUGAUUGUUAAACCAGUCUCACAAUAGUAGCUCUGUGAGAGGAAUAGGGGUCGCCUAACAACUCUCAGCACCCUUAGCAAACUACAGUUCCCAGGAUUCUUUGGGAGAAGCUGUGACUGUGCUCUAAGAGCGCUUUAGAUGCAU
Molecule: non-coding RNA, 290 nt
Organism: Podarcis lilfordi (Lilford's wall lizard)
Lineage: Eukaryota; Metazoa; Chordata; Lepidosauria; Squamata; Lacertidae
Source: the annotation of a GenBank genome assembly